GGGGAAUAUUGCACAAUGGAGGGAACUCUGAUGCAGCAACGCCGCGUGAAGGAAGAAGGUUUUCGGAUCGUAAACUUCUAUCAAAAGGGACGAAAAAGAUGACGGUACCUUAAUAAGAAGCCCCGGCUAACUACGUGCCAGCAGCCGCGGUAAUACGUAGGGGGCAAGCGUUAUCCGGAAUUACUGGGUGUAAAGGGAGCGUAGGCGGCAUGGUAAGUUAGAUGUGAAAGCCCGGGGCUUAACCCCGAGGAUUGCAUUUAAAACUAUUAAGCUAGAGUACAGGAGAGGAAAGCGGAAUUCCUAGUGUAGCGGUGAAAUGCGUAGAUAUUAGGAAGAACACCAGUGGCGAAGGCGGCCUUCUGGGCCACGACUGACGCUGAGGCGCGAAAGCUGGGGGAGCGAACA
Molecule: ribosomal RNA, 405 nt
Filed under: uncultured Eubacteriales bacterium
Lineage: Bacteria; Bacillati; Bacillota; Clostridia; Eubacteriales
Description: bacterial SSU rRNA
Rfam family: Bacterial small subunit ribosomal RNA
Source: RNAcentral